GACGUAGGGCGCGAGCGUUGUCCGGAAUUAUUGGGCGUAAAGAGCUCGUAGGCGGUUUGUCGCGUCUGCUGUGAAAACCUAAGGCUCAACCUUGGGCUUGCAGUGGGUACGGGCAGACUAGAGUGCGGUAGGGGUGACUGGAAUUCCUGGUGUAGCGGUGGAAUGCGCAGAUAUCAGGAGGAACACCGAUGGCGAAGGCAGGUCACUGGGCCGCAACUGACGCUGAGGAGCGAAAGCAUGGGGAGCGAACAGG
Molecule: ribosomal RNA, 253 nt
Filed under: uncultured bacterium
Lineage: Bacteria
Description: partial 16S ribosomal RNA
Rfam family: Bacterial small subunit ribosomal RNA
Source: RNAcentral